Molecule: ribosomal RNA, 430 nt
Filed under: bacterium
Lineage: Bacteria
Description: partial 16S ribosomal RNA
Rfam family: Bacterial small subunit ribosomal RNA
Source: RNAcentral
UGGGGAAUCUUGCGCAAUGGGCGAAAGCCUGACGCAGCAACGCCGCGUGUGUGAUGAAGGUCUUCGGAUCGUAAAGCACUGUCGCGAGGGACGAAUAAGCCUUUGGCUAACAUCCAGGGGCGAUGACGGUACCUCGAGAGGAAGCACCGGCUAACUCUGUGCCAGCAGCCGCGGUAAUACAGAGGGUGCGAGCGUUGUUCGGAAUUAUUGGGCGUAAAGCGCGUGUAGGCGGCUUAGCAAGUUGGGUGUGAAAGCCCUCGGCUUAACCGAGGAAGUGCGCCCAAAACUGCUUGGCUUGAGUACCGGAGAGGGUGGCGGAAUUCCCGGUGUAGAGGUGAAAUUCGUAGAUAUCGGGAGGAACACCAGCGGGGAAGGCGGCCACCUGGACGGAUACUGACGCUGAGACGCGAAAGCGUGGGGAGCAAACAGG